AUCACUUCUCGGCCUUUGGCUAAGAUCAAGUGUAGUAUCUGUUCUUAUCAGUUUAAUAUCUGAUACAUCCUCUAUCUGAGGACAAUAUAGUAAAAGGAUUUUUGGAGCUCAGAGUUGGAAUAGGAACUUGCUCCACCCACUCCACGCAUCGACCUGGUAUUGUAGUAGUACCUCUAGGAACAGUGCACCCCCU
Small nuclear RNA from Jaculus jaculus (lesser Egyptian jerboa), 193 nucleotides. Its record names the gene U2. It matches the Rfam family "U2 spliceosomal RNA". From Rfam's summary of the family: U2 is a small nuclear RNA (snRNA) component of the spliceosome (involved in pre-mRNA splicing). Complementary binding between U2 snRNA (in an area lying towards the 5' end but 3' to hairpin I) and the branchpoint sequence (BPS) of the intron results the bulging out of an unpaired adenosine, on the BPS, which initiates a nucleophilic attack at the intronic 5' splice site, thus starting the first of two transesterification reactions that mediate splicing. The record is from Ensembl. NCBI's taxonomy places the organism in Eukaryota, Metazoa, Chordata, Mammalia, Rodentia, Dipodidae.